RNAcentral lists this ribosomal RNA (134 nucleotides) under uncultured eukaryote. Its description in RNAcentral is "partial small subunit ribosomal RNA". The record is from RNAcentral.
ACUGUUAUAGCCGUUUCCGAAAAUCACAAUCCAAUAGGGAGUGCAAUUCUCCGCCCCCUCGGGACACCCGUAAUUGGAGUCGACAAUGGCGGGAGCGCUAUAGGAGUAUUCAAGGUCAUCGAUAUCCGCCUGGU